AAAAUAUAAUUUUAGAAUUUAUUUGCGUGUUCUUUUGAAAAUUGUUUUUUUUUUGGUUUUUCAUAAUUAACCUCAUUACAAUUGUUUCAGGCAUGAAAUAGUGGGCGUGGUGACUGAAGUCGGAGCCAAAGUGACUAAAUUCAACGCCGGAGACAAAGUGGGAGUUGGUUAUAUGGUCAGCUCAUGCGGGUCAUGUGAAACCUGCACUGAUGACCAAGAGAACUACUGUCCAAAAAUGAUCCUAACGUCCGGAGGCAAGUAUUACGAUGACACUAUAACAUAUGGUGGUUACUCCGACCACAUGGUUUGUGAAGAGGACUACAUCAUCCGUAUUCCAGAAAAUCUUCCCUUAGACGCUACCGCGCCUCUACUCUGCGCUGGGACCACCGUCUAUUCCCCGAUGAAGUAUCACGGGCUCGACAAGCCGGGUAUGCACAUUGGUGUGGUGGGACUAGGCGGUUUAGGUCAUGUAGCUGUGAAAUUUGCUAAGGCUAUGGGUAUUAAGGUUACAGUUAUUAGUACUUCGGAUAGGAAGAGAGACGAGGCGUUAACUCGGCUUGGUGCGGAUCUGUUCUUGGUGAGCCGUGACCCGGAACAGAUGAAGGAUGCAAUGGGUACUAUGGAUGGUAUUAUUGAUACCGUAUCUGCUACUCAUCCAGUUCUUCCGAUUCUUGAUUUGCUUAAAUAUAAGGGUAAACUUAUUAUGGUUGGUGCACCUGAUAAACCACUUGAGCUUCCGGUUCUGCCUCUCAUCUUUGGUAAGAGCCAUCUUUUUUGACCAUUAUCUCACAUGAUACUUUUAUUGUCAAUUUUCAUAAGCUUAUAAUAUGUAUAUGGUUUUCAUGACGAAAUACUAACUUUUUUUUUAGAGUAUGUUGUCUUUAGCCAAAUUUAAGGAUUGUCUUAAUUUCAAAAUCUUGACCCUAGACAGAUUAAACAUUAUAAUCCCUAAAAUUUAAGAAAUAAUUUACAUAAACAUAUGUGUCAAAUUUUUAAAUUUUUUUAUUAAUAAAACUCCUACUAAAUUACAUAUAGCUUUUUAAAUCUCUGGGCCUGUCCUGGUAUUUUGUAUCAUUAAUAAAAUCUACCGACAUAUAUAUCCAUGACUAUUAUCAAUUUAUCAUAACAAAUUUAAUAACAUUUCAAGUGUACAGUUGAUAAACAUUGAGAAAUUGACAUUUGGCGUUUGGGUCUAAGAGAGGAAUACAUGUGAUAUGAUUAUUGUACAGAUAACUGUCAUCAACAUGAGCAUGACUCAAUGAAUAAACUAUAUAGUGUAUAGUGUCUUGUGUAUAACAUGUAUUGUGUUCUAUAUUAUCGUGUAGAACAUGUUUUGGUCUGUCAAAUAUAAAGUUGUUAUAUUACUGGUUUAGAUAAGGCGUAAUAAAUAUAGUUAGCUAAACAUACGGUUAUAUUUUGUUAUUGGGCUAACAGAUGGUAAGACCAAAUAAUUGUUACUUAAAUGAAAAAGUGCAGUAACCCUGUAUAAGUAGAUUUUUUCAGAAUGAUUCUCUUUUAAUAGAAUAGAUAGAUAAAAUAGUACAACGCUCACCAUCAUGAUAUUUUUAGUAUAAUUAUAAUAUUCUGUUUUAUUAAAUAUGUUCGAAGAAAAUACAUUAUAAAUUUUCUCAAAAAAAAAUACAUUAUAAGAAAAGACAAAUGUUUUGUUACCCAAAAAAAAAAGAACACAAAUGCUUAUGAAAAACUAACAUGUUAAAGCCCAAUAGCGAAGUCUGAAGCCAAUCUAUUCGAUGGCGGCAAGCGGUGAUUUUGCAGCUGAACAUGGUAUUUUAUUUAUUUUUAUUUUUUUUUGUAACAAGCUGAACAUGGUAUAAAAGCAGACAUUGGAAUCAUAUCCAUGGAGUAUGUGAGCACCGUCAAAUAUCGUUUUGUCAUCGACAUUGGUCACAUUGGGAACACAUUGGUUGCUACUACAUCUUAGAACUAAAAUGAAAAAUAUACAAAGACUUCUUGUUGAGACGACACAAAAUAUUGAAAUUAUGGGUUUCACAUCGAUGUUCUCGUUAUGUUCGUUUUUCUUUCCUUUUUUUUUUUGUAACAAUUCGUUUUUCUUUCCUUCUUGUUUUGUUUUACUUCUUGUUGAAUUAAAUUCAUAUGAAAAACAUGGAAGGACAUAUCAAUGAAAAAAAAUCUAUUUUAAAUUAUCGAAAGAGAUAUUAUUUGUGAAUUGAGAUAAGAAAAAAAAACUCCAUGUGAUAUUUCUUUGUUCGUUUGUAUUACCCAUGUGAUAUUUAUUUUCUGUAGUUUUAGCAUUAUUCAUAUUUUGAAUAUACACACACCUCCCAUUUGAAGAUUAGGUCUACGUAUUUAAUACAUUCGGAGCUAACUUUUUUUUUAUCACAAAAAAUGUGGUUGAUCAUUUCCCACGUGUGGAUUAGAUUUUGCUCUGAAUAUAUAUAAUUCCCUCCACACAAACUUUAAGUAGGCAAACGUAUUAUUUCAAUUAGUUAAAUGAGUUAGGCUUCAAUUAUUUCAAUAUCCAAUUUAUUUAUUUUGGCUUAUUCGGAAAAUUAUGAAGUCGAGUUUCAUAAUUUAAAAUCCAACACACCUAUAGUUUUUUUGCUAAAACUUAAACACCUAUCGUUUGGCGUUUGGGUUUACAGUUAACAAUGAAUUUAGUUACCAAUAUUCAGAAGGUGUGGAUCCAUUUGAAAAAUUGUAAAUUAGUAUUUCAGAACAUGAUUUGAACAUAAAUCAUUUAUUUUUAAUUUUGGAAUUUAAUGCUUAUAAUUUGCAACUGUAAUUAUCGAUGAAGAUAUUUUAAUCACGGUAUUGUAAAAUAGUUAAAUUUGAUCAUAUAUUUUUGCGGUACUAUUUUUAAUAUUUUAUUUAAAAUAGAUGAUACUGUUUUAAUUUAUAUCAUUCAAUAGCAGAGAGAAAAAUAAAUUUUUUAAAAAAACUAGAUCUCUAUCUGUGCAACCGCGCGGAUGUUUAUUUCAUUUAUUUUUAUAUAAACAUUUUGUUUUCAAUUCUACAUUGGUAUAUAUUAAUAUAUAUGAGAUGUGUCUAUCAUUUUCUAAAACAUAAUAAUUUUAUCGUAUAUUUUUUGUAUUGAAUUGGUUGUUUCCAGAUCACAUUUUUUUUCUUGGAAAAGAUUGAUAGUUAUUUAAUUCCUAUAGUGUAGUAGACAUAUUAUUUAGUUUCUGUAAUCUAGAAAGUGAAUUAUUUAGAUCUAUAAUAAUGAUAAGAUUAGAAUUAAAUGUAACAUGAAUUUCUAGUAAUAGGUCUAUUAGGUCAAUUUUUUAAAAAAUAUAACACAUGAGUCAAGGUUAUGACUUCUCUUUUAAUAUAUAAGACUAGCAAUAAUAAUUACGAAAACUGAAAAAAAACUUUACGAAAACGAAGGAAGAAGACAUCAGUAUCAUACAUUCAGUUUUGUUUUGUUUACCGAGAAUUAUGAGUUAUCAGACUUAUGACUAUGUUUUUGAAUCCACAACAAAUCUUCAAAUCUCAAAGUAUAACUUAUUUGUAAUGAACGUAAUUCACUAUGAAAUUAGAAGUAAAAUUCUAACUAAGUGGUGGUAGUUUAGUGAUAAUUUUUUGGAGCUUGGUAUGUACGUAUCCACAUCAGUUUUGGGUUCGAUUCUUCCUACGGACUAAAUUAUCAUCAUUUGGCCAGUCUUGGCUUGGACUUCGGUCCAAAUGGUUUAUAUGGUGGAUCGUAACAGAUAAUCGGUUCAUCCCUGUUAUUAGUCAGAAGAUAUUCCAAACUUGAGUUAGGCAGUGUGGUAGUAGUCAGUCCAAUAUUUAGUACUAAAUGCGUUCCUCCCAAGACCGACCAGAUCAGCCGAUAGGAUUUAUCAAAAAAAAAAAAAAUCUCGUAACAAUAUUUGGUUCGCGUGAGAUCACACCUACUAUAUAGUCUGAAAGUUCACUGGUUUCACCUAGUAUAUAGUCUGAAAGCUCAUUGGUUUAUAGUUCAAAAAAAAGUUCAUAUAUAGUCUGAAAGCUCAUUGGUUUAUAGUUCAAAAAAAAGUUCAUAUGGUAAAACAAUUACAAACAUCAAAUAUACGUUAUGAAAAUGGUCCAACAGAGUAAUGAGUAAUAGUACUCACUACUCACUCCUCAACCUACUAUAUAGUCCGAAAGUUCAUUGUUUUAUAGUGUAUAUAUGGUAAAAUAAGUUCAAAAACAUCAAAUAAACGUAAUGAAAAUGGUCCAAGCGAGUGAUGAGUAAUAGUACUCAUAUCGGUUCAACAAGCCUCUCCUAUAUUGAUGACAAAAAAAAAAAAAAAGCCUCUCCUAUAUUAAACCGUGUCACUCCUCUUCACUAUUCCUACAUUUCUCAAUUAUUGAUAUCAUCACUCAAAGAACAAUUCUCAGCCUUAUUCUCUUAUUGCUUAUCCAUAAUGGGAGAGGUCCUUAAGAAGGAGGCGUACGGACUGGCUGUAAAAGACGAAUCUGGAGUUAUCUCGCCUUUCCGUUUCUCAAGAAGGUUCCAGUUUCCUUUUAACGAAUUGAUGAUCUCUAUGAAUUAUGUUUCAUAUUAUAUGUUUUCUUUGAAUGAAACUUAAUUUCGUGGGAUUAAUGUAUAGGGAGACAGGAGAAAAUGAUGUGAGGUUAAAAGUGUUGUUCUGUGGAAUUUGCCACACAGAUUUAAGCAUGGCCAUAAACGAGUGGGGGUUUACUAGUUACCCCCUUGUCCCCGGGUAAGACAACAUUUGGAUACUCAAAAGAUACUCAAAAUCAUAUCAAUAAUGGAAUUUAAUAUGAAAACAUUCCAUCUGAUCAAAUCCAAAUAAAAAAAUUUAGAAACCGUAAAAUUUUGAUUCAGAUUCAAAUAAUAAUAUUUAAGAUUACGGAUCAGUAUCCCAAUCCCAGACAUGGUAAAUUCUAAUCUUACAAUUCAUAGCCGUUAAAUAUACUAAAGUUUUGUAAGAGAUACUCAAAAUCAAAGAUAGAAUUAUUUAUGAAAAGAUUCCAUCUGAGAUUCAAUUCAAAGAAUUUGGAUAUUUUAACACUUUGAGUUUGAAUUCAAAUAUUUAAGUUAAGCAAAAACUGUCCGGAUCCCAAAUAUCGUGAAUUUCUGAUAUAUUUUUGACAAAUUUGAAUUUCUGAUAUUAUAAUCAAUACCUGUUAAAUAUAUUAAAGUUAGAGAUUAUGUACUUUUAUAUAUAAAAGAUAUACAAUUUUUAAGUUUAUUAUAAGUUAUAACAUAUCAUAUCAUAUUAUUUUUAAUAAAUGUUUCCAAAAAUAUAAUUUUAGAAUUUAUUUGGGUGUUCUUUUGAAAAUUGUUUUUUUUUUUUUGGUUUUUCAUAAUUAACCUCAUUAUAAUUGUUUCAGGCAUGAAAUAGUGGGCGUGGUGACUGAAGUCGGAGCCAAAGUGACUAAAUUCAACGCCGGAGACAAAGUGGGAGUUGGUUAUAUGGUCAGCUCAUGCGGGUCAUGUGAAACCUGCACUGAUGACCAAGAGAACUACUGUCCAAAAAUGAUCCUAACGUCCGGAGGCAAGUAUUACGAUGACACUAUAACAUAUGGUGGUUACUCCGACCACAUGGUUUGUGAAGAGGACUACAUCAUCCGUAUUCCAGAAAAUCUUCCCUUAGACGCUACCGCGCCGCUACUCUGC
Molecule: long non-coding RNA, 5590 nt
Filed under: Brassica napus (rape)
Lineage: Eukaryota; Viridiplantae; Streptophyta; Magnoliopsida; Brassicales; Brassicaceae
Description: long non-coding RNA (BNAP_LNC007068)
Source: RNAcentral